GCCUCAGUGGCUUAGUUGGCAGAGCGGCUGACUUGUAAUCAGCAGGUCCCGUGUUCAAAUCACGGCUGAGGCU
This is a non-coding RNA of Methanoculleus sp. SDB, 73 nucleotides long. Lineage: Archaea; Methanobacteriati; Methanobacteriota; Methanomicrobia; Methanomicrobiales; Methanomicrobiaceae. The record is from Rfam.